GGGGACGGUCACACUACACACAUACACACACACAUAUACACAUACCCACGCACGUUUGUGAGAGUGAUAAGGGGAGUGAAAGAGCGAUCAACAAAAGACACACGCGCGACGUCUUGGCACCGCCCCUCGCCCACCCGCUCAUUCUAAAAGAGCCGCCAGCAGCUGACCUCAAAAUAGACCUGUAUUCACGGUUUGCUGUAGCCUUCCGCUUCUGCUGCUUGUUUACCGAUGAGUCUGCACGAGUUUCUGUGUACGCGUUUUUUGUUGCUGUUUGCAAUAAAUAUUUGGUGUGAUUUGAUCGGACGGUGUCUGGCACUUGUCAAGAACUUUGACGCAUUGCUAGUGAUAAGAUGUGGACUCACUUUCGUUUACCUUGCAAAUCGAUAAUCGUUUCUUAACACAGCAGCAUUCAAAUAUAUGGUGUGCACGCUGCACGCAAUUUCUUAAUACGCGGAGACAGCCCACACAAGCCCAAGGUCAGCAAUAGUCACUCCUAGUCACUCCAAGUGAGACAGACAACUUAAGGGCGCACAGUGGAAGGAAAUGCGACAGGGCGUGACGUCACUACAGAAGGGCACACCCCCAGUUGACAUCUUGGUCUAUUGCAUCAGCAUUUUAGAUAUCCAAUAUUGAGCGACUCUCUCUCUCUCUCUCACAACAUCUUUGCCUAUACUUGACUCACAUUUGCCAUUGCCUUUCGUCGCUACCGCCGACAAACGUCAGAGACAAACAUACAUAAACAUAUGUAUAUGUAUAUACCGAAAGCAAAAGAA
Molecule: long non-coding RNA, 773 nt
Organism: Drosophila grimshawi
Lineage: Eukaryota; Metazoa; Arthropoda; Insecta; Diptera; Drosophilidae
Exons: 3
Source: RefSeq, a predicted model, not a curated record